Molecule: ribosomal RNA, 314 nt
Filed under: uncultured Spirochaeta sp.
Lineage: Bacteria; Pseudomonadati; Spirochaetota; Spirochaetia; Spirochaetales; Spirochaetaceae
Description: bacterial SSU rRNA
Rfam family: Bacterial small subunit ribosomal RNA
Source: RNAcentral
GAAGUGUUGGGUUAAGUCCCGCAACGAGCGCAACCCCUGCUGUCUGUUGCCACCACGAGAGGUGGGGACUCAGGCGGAACUGCCGGUGACAAACCGGAGGAAGUGGGGACGACGUCAAGUCAUCAUGGCCCUUAUGUCCUGGGCUACACACGUGCUACAAUGGCCGGUACAGAGCGCAGCGAGGCCGCGAGGCGGAGCGAAUCGCUUAAAGCCCGGUCCCAGUACGGAUUGGAGUCUGCAACCCGACUCCAUGAAGUUGGAAUCGCUAGUAAUCGCGCAUCAGCAUGGCGCGGUGAAUUACGUUCCCGGGCCUU